CUGGCGGCGUGUUAACACAUGCAAGUCGAGCGAUGAAGUCCUUCGGGACGGAUUAGCGGCGGACGGGUGAGUAACACGUGGGUAACCUGCCUCAUAGAGGGGAAUAGCCUUCCGAAAGGAAGAUUAAUACCGCAUAAGAUUGUAGUUUCGCAUGAAACAGCAAUUAAAGGAGUAAUCCGCUAUGAGAUGGACCCGCGUCGCAUUAGCUAGUUGGUGAGGUAACGGCUCACCAAGGCGACGAUGCGUAGCCGACCUGAGAGGGUGAUCGGCCACAUUGGGACUGAGACACGGCCCAGACUCCUACGGGAGGCAGCAGUGGGGAAUAUUGCACAAUGGGGGAAACCCUGAUGCAGCAACGCCCGCGUGAGUGAUGACGGUCUUCGGAUUGUAAAGCUCUGCCUUCAGGGACGAUAAUGACGGUACCUGAGGAGGAAGCCACGGCUAACUACGUGCCAGCAGCAGC
Molecule: ribosomal RNA, 463 nt
Filed under: uncultured bacterium
Lineage: Bacteria
Description: bacterial SSU rRNA
Rfam family: Bacterial small subunit ribosomal RNA
Source: RNAcentral